GACGAACGCUGGCGGCGUGCCUAAUACAUGCAAGUUGAGCGCUGAAGGUUGGUACUUGUACCGACUGGAUGAGCAGCGAACGGGUGAGUAACGCGUGGGGAAUCUGCCUUUGAGCGGGGGACAACAUUUGGAAACGAAUGCUAAUACCGCAUAAAAACUUUAAACACAAGUUUUAAGUUUGAAAGAUGCAAUUGCAUCACUCAAAGAUGAUCCCGCGUUGUAUUAGCUAGUUGGUGAGGUAAAGGCUCACCAAGGCGAUGAUACAUAGCCGACCUGAGAGGGUGGUCGGCCACAUUGGGACUGAGACACGGCCCAAACUCCUACGGGAGGCAGCAGUAGGGAAUCUUCGGCAAUGGACGAAAGUCUGACCGAGCAACGCCGCGUGAGUGAAGAAGGUUUUCGGACCGUAAAACUCUGUUGGUAGAGAAGAACGUUGGUGAGAGUGGAAAGCUCAUCAAGUGACGGUAACUACACAGAAAGGGACGGCUAACUACGUG
This 497-nucleotide ribosomal RNA is filed under the name uncultured bacterium. RNAcentral describes it as "partial 16S ribosomal RNA". It matches the Rfam family "Bacterial small subunit ribosomal RNA", at positions 28 to 507 of the family's 1533-position model. The record is from RNAcentral.